UACGUAGGUGGCAAGCGUUGUCCGGAAUUAUUGGGCGUAAAGCGCGCGCAGGCGGCCUUUUAAGUCUGAUGUGAAAGCCCACGGCUCAACCGUGGAAGGUCAUUGGAAACUGAGAGGCUUGAGUACAGAAGAGGAAAGCGGAAUUCCACGUGUAGCGGUGAAAUGCGUAGAUAUCUGGAGGAACACCGGUGGCGAAGGCGGGUCUCUGGGCAAUUCCUGACGCUGAGGCGCGAAAGCUAGGGGAGCAAACGGG
RNAcentral lists this ribosomal RNA (253 nucleotides) under uncultured bacterium. RNAcentral's name for it is "partial 16S ribosomal RNA". It matches the Rfam family "Bacterial small subunit ribosomal RNA", at positions 524 to 776 of the family's 1533-position model. The record is from RNAcentral.